GUUGGUGGUUAUAGUGAAGGUGAUCACCUCUUCCCAUUCCGAACAGAGAAGUUAAGCCCUUUCACGCCCAUGAUACUGCCUUCACCGGUGGGAAAGUAGGUCGCCGCCACUU
Molecule: ribosomal RNA, 112 nt
Filed under: Xanthocytophaga agilis
Lineage: Bacteria; Pseudomonadati; Bacteroidota; Cytophagia; Cytophagales; Rhodocytophagaceae
Also listed under: 1 other name
Source: RNAcentral